UUUACAAACCUUACCGAAUGCAAUUGGAGGGCAAGUCUGGUGCCAGCAGCCGCGGUAAUUCCAGCUCCAAUAGCGUAUAUUAAAGUUGUUGCAGUUAAAAAGCUCGUAGUUGAAGUUCUGAUCGUUCAGGUCCUCAGCCUUAGGCGGGGAUUCUGACGGUCAUCCGCUUGCAAACAUAUGUUCGAUCUUCACCGGUUGGCUAUGUGAGUAAGCAAUUUACCUUGAGAAAAACAGAGUGUUCCAGGCAGGUUUGUCCGGAAUGCAUUAGCAUGGAAUAAUAGAACAUGACUGAAGUCUAUUUAUUGGUUUAAGGCUUUAGUAAUGAUUAAUAGGAACAGUCGGGGGCAUUCGUACUCAGCAGUCAGAGGUGAAAUUCUAAGUUUUGCUGAAGACGAACUAAUGCGAAAGCAUUUGCCAAGGAUGUUUUCAUUAAUCAAGAACGAAAGUUAGGGGAUCAAAGACGAUCAGAUACCGUCCUAGUCUUAACUAUAAACGAUGCCGACUCGGAUUCAGAUGAAUCAAAAAGUUCAUUUGGGACCGUAGGAGAAAUCAAAGUCUUUGGGUUCUGGGGGGAGUAUGGUCGCAAGGCUGAAACUUAAAGGAAUUGACGGUUUUGCACCACCAUGGAGUGGAGUCUGCGGCUUAAUAUGACCCAACACUGGGAAACUCAUCAGGGCAAGAAGAUUUUAGGAUUGACAGAUUGAGAGUUCUUUCUUGAUUGGUCUAGUGGUGGUGCAUGGCCGUUCCUAGUUGGUGGAGUGAUUUGUCUGGUUAAUUCCGUUAACGAACGAGACCUUAACCUGCUAACUAGUGCUUCGAUCUCUAAUCGAAGGCACUUCUUAGAGGGACUAUGUGUGGUAAUCACAUGGGAGUUUGAGGCAAUAACAGGUCUGUGAUGCCCUUAGAUGUCCUGAGCUGCACGCGUACUACAAUGGCACUUUCAACAAGUCUUUCCUGAUCCGAAAGGAUUUGGGUAAUCUUUUUAGGGAGUGCCGUGCUUGGGAUAGAUCUUUGUAAUUGUGGAUCUUGAACUAGGAAUUCCUAGUAAGCGCGAGUCAUCAUCUCGUGCUGAUUACGUCCCUGCAAAAUGUACACACCGCCCGUCGCUUUUACCGAUUGAGUGUUCAGGUGAGUCUUCUUGAUAGUUUUUCUAAAAAUUAAACAAACCUUAGCACUUAGAGGAAAAAGAAGUCGUAACAAGGUUUCCGUAGGUGAACCUGCGGAAG
RNAcentral lists this ribosomal RNA (1226 nucleotides) under metagenome. RNAcentral describes it as "SSU rRNA". It matches the Rfam family "Eukaryotic small subunit ribosomal RNA", at positions 524 to 1823 of the family's 1831-position model. The record is from RNAcentral.